Molecule: ribosomal RNA, 673 nt
Filed under: Rhodococcus sp. (in: high G+C Gram-positive bacteria)
Lineage: Bacteria; Bacillati; Actinomycetota; Actinomycetes; Mycobacteriales; Nocardiaceae
Description: bacterial SSU rRNA
Rfam family: Bacterial small subunit ribosomal RNA
Source: RNAcentral
AGCGGUAAGGCCUUUCGGGGUACACGAGCGGCGAACGGGUGAGUAACACGUGGGUGAUCUGCCUUGCACUCUGGGAUAAGCCUGGGAAACUGGGUCUAAUACUGGAUAUGACCAUGGCAUGCAUGUGCUGUGGUGGAAAGAUUUAUCGGUGUGAGAUGGGCCCGCGGCCUAUCAGCUUGUUGGUGGGGUAAUGGCCUACCAAGGCGACGACGGGUAGCCGACCUGAGAGGGUGACCGGCCACACUGGGACUGAGACACGGCCCAGACUCCUACGGGAGGCAGCAGUGGGGAAUAUUGCACAAUGGGCGGAAGCCUGAUGCAGCGACGCCGCGUGAGGGAUGAAGGCCUUCGGGUUGUAAACCUCUUUCAGCAGGGACGAAGCGUGAGUGACGGUACCUGCAGAAGAAGCACCGGCUAACUACGUGCCAGCAGCCGCGGUAAUACGUAGGGUGCGAGCGUUGUCCGGAAUUACUGGGCGUAAAGAGUUCGUAGGCGGUUUGUCGCGUCGUUUGUGAAAACCCGGGGCUCAACUUCGGGCUUGCAGGCGAUACGGGCAGACUUGAGUGUUUCAGGGGAGACUGGAAUUCCUGGUGUAGCGGUGAAAUGCGCAGAUAUCAGGAGGAACACCGGUGGCGAAGGCGGGUCUCUGGGAAACAACUGACGCUGAGGAACG